GAUGAACGCUGGCGGCGUGCCUAAUACAUGCAAGUCGAGCGAACAGAUAAGGAGCUUGCUCCUUUGACGUUAGCGGCGGACGGGUGAGUAACACGUGGGUAACCUACCUAUAAGACUGGAAUAACUCCGGGAAACCGGGGCUAAUGCCGGAUAACAUUUAGAACCGCAUGGUUCUAAAGUGAAAGAUGGUUUUGCUAUCACUUAUAGAUGGACCCGCGCCGUAUUAGCUAGUUGGUAAGGUAACGGCUUACCAAGGCAACGAUACGUAGCCGACCUGAGAGGGUGAUCGGCCACACUGGAACUGAGACACGGUCCAGACUCCUACGGGAGGCAGCAGUAAGGAAUCUUCCGCAAUGGGCGAAAGCCUGACGGAGCAACGCCGCGUGAGUGAUGAAGGUCUUCGGAUCGUAAAACUCUGUUAUUAGGGAAGAACAAAUGUGUAAGUAACUGUGCACGUCUUGACGGUACCUAAUCAGAAAGCCACGGCUAACGACGUG
This 497-nucleotide ribosomal RNA is filed under the name uncultured bacterium. RNAcentral's name for it is "partial 16S ribosomal RNA". It matches the Rfam family "Bacterial small subunit ribosomal RNA", at positions 28 to 507 of the family's 1533-position model. The record is from RNAcentral.